This 253-nucleotide ribosomal RNA is filed under the name uncultured bacterium. RNAcentral's name for it is "partial 16S ribosomal RNA". It matches the Rfam family "Bacterial small subunit ribosomal RNA", at positions 524 to 776 of the family's 1533-position model. The record is from RNAcentral.
GACAGAGGGUGCAAACGUUGUUCGGAAUUACUGGGCGUAAAGCGCGUGUAGGCGGCCAUCUAAGUCGGGCGUGAAAUCCCACGGCUCAACCGUGGAAGUGCACUCGAAACUGGAUGGCUAGAGUCCGGGAGAGGUGAGUGGAACUGCGAGUGUAGAGGUGAAAUUCGUAGAUAUUCGCAAGAACACCAGUGGCGAAGGCGGCUCACUGGCCCGGUACUGACGCUGAGGCACGAAAGCGUGGGGAGCAAACAGG